Molecule: non-coding RNA, 1193 nt
Organism: Saimiri boliviensis boliviensis (Bolivian squirrel monkey)
Lineage: Eukaryota; Metazoa; Chordata; Mammalia; Primates; Cebidae
Source: RefSeq, a predicted model, not a curated record
UGUCUGUCCCUAGGAGUGAAACUGCUGGGUCAUAUGGUAUCUGUGUCUUUAUCUGUUUGAGGAACCACCAGACUGUUGUUCUAAAUGUGCCAUUUUCCAUUACUAGCAGCAGAAUACGGGGAUUCUGAUUUCUCCACAUCCUCACCAAUACUCGCUGUUAUUUGACUUUUUGAUUCUGGCCACCCAGUGGUUAUGAAGCAGUAUCUCACUGUGGUUUUGCUUUACAUUUCUGUAUGAGUCAGCUAGGGCUAUUAUAAUAAAUACCAUAGACUGCGAAGCUUAAACAACAGAAAUUCUUGUGAUUCUGGAGGCUGGAAGUCCAAGAUAAAAGUGCUAAGAAGUUGGUUUCUAGGGAAGCCUCUCUUCCUGGCUUGAAGACAGCCACUUUCUUGCUGUGUUUUCAUGUGGCCUUUCCUCUGUGCACAUGCAGUGGGAGAGAGAGAAUAUUCUGUUGUUUUUCCUCUUCUUAUAAAGAUACUACUGGAUUAGGGCCCUUCCCUAUGACCUCCUUUUUACCUUGAUUGCCUCCGUGAAGACCUCGUCUGCAAAUACACUUAAACUGUGGGUAGGGCUUCAAGGUAAGAAUUUGGGAAAGAUGAGACAACAAUUUCCCUGGUGACUAAUGAUACCAGGCAUCUUUUUAUAUGCCUGUUAGCCUUUGUACUAAUAAAUGAUUCCAGGAAUCCUAAAAAGUUAUAGUUUUCAAUAUAAUUUUUAGAAUAAGAAAGUGAGAUCAUCUUAAUUAUUUGAAGUGAAGCACACUUAAAGUUUUUCUUGUGAAGCCAUAACCAACAAAUAGCAUCACAUAAAGAUUGACAUAAUUUAGAUCAAGCAUGUUGCUGAGUCACUAAAAUGUAAAUUAUUGGAUCAUGUUGAUUGUCUAAAAGAGAUAUCCCUAAAUAAGUAACAUAGAAAGAUAAUUAUAAAAGAUUGGUAAAGUUGGGCCAGGCACGGUGGCUCACGCCUGUAAUCCCAGCACUUUGGGAGGCCAAGGCAGGUGGAUCACGAGGUCAAGAGAUCGAGGCCAUCCUGGUCAACAUAGUGAAACCUCGUCUCUACUAAAAAUACAAAAAAUUAGCUGGGCAUGGUGGCGCAUGCCUGUAAUCCCAGCUACUCAGGAGGCUGAGGCAGGAGAAUUGCCUGAACCCAGGAGGCGGAGGUUGCGGAGAGCUGAGAUCGCACCAUUGCACUCC